GUAAGUUUAAGGUGUGCAGUAUCAUGAUUUGACUUGCAUCUGUGGGACUUACUUUAACGAACCAGCUGCAGACCCAGGGCCUCGCUCGGGCCUCUCCAUGGUGGUGCCUUUCCACAGUUCUCCCUCGAAGCACUGCGAACCCCAUUUGUGGCACAGAAAGCCCCUGACUUCACACUCAGAAACCCACAGGCUGUGUCUCUCUGCUGCUCUGCCUCCCCUGCCCAGCCAGCUAGUGACUCAGCCAGGCAAAGAUACCUAACAGCUGGGCCCACCUCUUGGUGGGUGCUGAGCCAAUAGACACAACCAAGCCAAAAAUCGGGAGGAAGAAGGAUUUAUUCCUCAGAGCAAAUAGGAAGAACCCUGGGGAUCUCUCCCAAAGCAGGGUCUCCCCAAACAGCAAAUUUGGGGACGUUUUAAGCUAAGGGUAGAUGCUGAGGUGUGAGAGGGCUUGAGUAGAGAAUUCAGCACAGAACUGGGGCAAAGGUCGACAGAGUCCAGGCUCAGUGGGUUGAACUCGCAUCCUCUACCUGGUGGGGCCACGGCUCCUGCAGAGCUCGGUCGUGUAUCCUUAUGUGAGCUUUCCCCGGUGGUCCGGUGGAGUCCCCUCCUCCGCUGCAGGGGGAUUGCCUCUGAUCCCCGGUUGGGGAAAUAGCAUCUAACAAGCUGCUUGGUGAGGUAAAAAAAAAAAGUCCUGUUCCUGUGUAAAUCCCUGGAGGAACCGACCGCCCCGAGGCUGCCCUAUUGUUUCUGGCCUUCUCCUCCCUCAUUUCUGCAUUUUCUCCCGAAAUGUUGAGUACUUUGCACACAUUAUUUUAUUGGAAUAAGGCGUUGUUCCUUCCAGGAGACGGAAGCUCAGAGAGGUGGAUCGAUUAAGGAGGAGCCAUCUUGUAGGAAGCGUGUCUGUGGUGAUCUUGCAGGAAUAAGCCCCCAGGGGCGGGACCCUGGUGGUCGAUCACGUUUGUAGACUGCAUGAGGCCUGGCCCAGCCCCAGGGACGUCCCGCCAGGCUCCUCUGUCUACAGGAUUCUCCAGGCAAGAAUUCUGGAGUGGGUUGCCAUGCCCUGCUCCAGGGGAUCUUCCUGACCCAGGGAUCAAACCGGGGUCUCCUGCCUUUCGGGCGGAUGCUUUACCGUCUGCGCCGCAGGGAAGCCGUCACCGCAGCUUCUUAAACCGAUUGUCUGUUGAUGGGCACUCGGUUGUUCCCACUUCUUGACUGCUACAGAGAGUGCUUCUAUGACCAUUGGGGUGGGACCCCGCUAUUUUAAAGACAAGGAGACCGAGGGGAGACGAGGAAAGAGACUGAGGUCAGGGCCGCGGCAGUGGUGUCGUGAUGGAGGCCACGUUCCAGACCAGCUGCUGGGCUCGGUCCUUGCGGUGUCGCAGCGGACCCCCGUCCUUCACCUCCCGACAGUCUCCUCACCUUUAGAAUGGGCGCGCUGCUGCGGCUGGCGCUUGCUGGAGGCAUGUGGGUGAGCUGCCCUGCCCAGCAAUACUGAGCAGCAAAUGUCAGCAAAUUAGGAACCCACAAAACCAUGACACAGAGCCACAUGGUUCUCAAGACUCUGUCCAGACAGUGUUCCUUCUCUGAGCUCACCUGGUUUGGAAGGGGAUGAGAAAUGCAGCCAGGAAUUGGCCAUCCUCAGGGAUUGCUUAGAGCAGCGGUACUCAAAUCUUAGCAUCACUUGCGGUGGGUGGGGUGAGGUGGUGGGAAGCUUAUUUGGUAACCUGCAUUUCUAGCAAGUUCCCAGAUGACAAGGUGCUGCCAGCUCCCCCGGCUCAUAGACCAGUACGACCUCUCCUUCUCCAGAUGGUUAACGGCCUCCCGCAAGCUUGUGGCUUUACUUCUACCUGCUUGGCCCUGGGAUUCCUCUUCUGUCCUUAUGUACAUUUCCAUGUGUGGUUCUCAUCUUUCUGGACUCACUAAUACCUUAUCAUUCUGUAAGAUAACAGCUCAGAUAACAUUUUCAGCUUUUUUAAAAAAAUCGUGGGCAGGAUGGCCUAUGCCAAUUGCCCUGGCCAAUUAAACCUAAAUUGUUUUGGCCUCCUGAAUCAGGCUACCCCAUUGCUCUGUGCAGAUCACCUCCUCCAGGAAGCCCUCCAGGACUGCUCAGACCCAGCAGGUGUCUCUUUUGAGCUGUCUGCUUACCACUCUCAUAAAUGCGCCAUUUCCUCUGAGGCGACUGUGCAUAAAGUCCACUUUGUCCCGGCAAGGAAGAUGCAUCCCCAGUCCACUUGGCGUUCUUUUCAUUUCAACCAGCAGAGGGCGGCUCAGUACCACAAUUCUACCCAGCUGGGUUCAGCCUUGGGGGUGAAUAACCCAGACCUUCCUGUCCUCAGAAGGCCUUGGGGUAAAGGGGAGGCGUUGAGACGACCUGGUUAUCUCAUCUGUGGUUAAGUGCCGGGACCUGGGUCCAGACAUUUCUAGCAGUGUGAUCCUGGGCUUUGUGACUCACCCAGCUGACCCUCAAUUUUCUCUCUGUAAAUCGGCUAUAGUAAUGCCCCGUGGAAGUUUCUGAACAUUGAAUAGAUUGGUCACAUGACUUGUUUAGCCCAGAGCCUGAGUCAGAUUUAGCACGUGCACGGGUGACUGUGGGCUAGUGAUUGCACCUCUCUGCACCUCAGUUUCCUCAUCUGUAAAAUGGGGAUAAUUUAAAGUACCCCCUUAUAGACUAUUGCCUCAGUUCCCU
Bos taurus (domestic cattle) is the source of this 2686-nucleotide long non-coding RNA. NCBI's taxonomy places the organism in Eukaryota, Metazoa, Chordata, Mammalia, Artiodactyla, Bovidae. The record is from Ensembl.